Molecule: ribosomal RNA, 779 nt
Filed under: Streptomyces sp.
Lineage: Bacteria; Bacillati; Actinomycetota; Actinomycetes; Kitasatosporales; Streptomycetaceae
Description: bacterial SSU rRNA
Rfam family: Bacterial small subunit ribosomal RNA
Source: RNAcentral
UGCAGUCGACGAUGAACCUCCUUCGGGAGGGGAUUAGUGGCGAACGGGUGAGUAACACGUGGGCAAUCUGCCCUGCACUCUGGGACAAGCCCUGGAAACGGGGUCUAAUACCGGAUACGACCACUGAGGGCAUCCUCGGUGGUGGAAAGCUCCGGCGGUGCAGGAUGAGCCCGCGGCCUAUCAGCUUGUUGGUGGGGUGAUGGCCUACCAAGGCGACGACGGGUAGCCGGCCUGAGAGGGCGACCGGCCACACUGGGACUGAGACACGGCCCAGACUCCUACGGGAGGCAGCAGUGGGGAAUAUUGCACAAUGGGCGAAAGCCUGAUGCAGCGACGCCGCGUGAGGGAUGACGGCCUUCGGGUUGUAAACCUCUUUCAGCAGGGAAGAAGCGAAAGUGACGGUACCUGCAGAAGAAGCGCCGGCUAACUACGUGCCAGCAGCCGCGGUAAUACGUAGGGCGCGAGCGUUGUCCGGAAUUAUUGGGCGUAAAGAGCUCGUAGGCGGCUUGUCGCGUCGGUUGUGAAAGCCCGGGGCUUAACCCCGGGUCUGCAGUCGAUACGGGCAGGCUAGAGUUCGGUAGGGGAGAUCGGAAUUCCUGGUGUAGCGGUGAAAUGCGCAGAUAUCAGGAGGAACACCGGUGGCGAAGGCGGAUCUCUGGGCCGAUACUGACGCUGAGGAGCGAAAGCGUGGGGAGCGAACAGGAUUAGAUACCCUGGUAGUCCACGCCGUAAACGUUGGGCACUAGGUGUGGGCGACAUUCCACGUCGUCCGUGCCGCA